RNAcentral lists this ribosomal RNA (253 nucleotides) under uncultured bacterium. RNAcentral's name for it is "partial 16S ribosomal RNA". It matches the Rfam family "Bacterial small subunit ribosomal RNA", at positions 524 to 776 of the family's 1533-position model. The record is from RNAcentral.
UACGAAGGACCCGAGCGUUAUCCGGAUUUAUUGGGUUUAAAGGGUGCGUAGGCGGAUUUACAAGUCAGUGGUGAAAUCUCCCGGCUUAACCGGGAAACUGCAAUUGAAACUGUUUAUCUUGAGUACAUUUGAGGCGGGCGGAAUGUGUCAUGUAGAGGUGAAAUUCUUAGAUAUGACACAGAACACCAAUUGCGAAGGCAGCUCGCUAAACUGUAACUGACGCUGAGGCACGAAAGCGUGGGGAUCAAACAGG